GUGAGGAAUCUUGCGCAAUGGGGGAAACCCUGACGCAGCAACGCCGCGUGAGUGAGGAAGGCCUUCGGGUCGUAAAGCUCUGUCAGAUGGGAAGAAAUGGGUGGGGGCUAAUAUCGUCCAUCCUUGACGGUACCAUCAGAGGAAGCACCGGCUAACUCCGUGCCAGCAGCCGCGGUAAUACGGGGGGUGCAAGCGUUGUUCGGAAUCAUUGGGCGUAAAGCGCGCGCAGGCGGCUUGGUAAGUCAGAUGUGAAAUCCCUGGGCUUAACCCAGGAAGUGCAUUUGAUACUGCCUCGCUAGAGUACGGGAGAGGAAAGUGGAAUUCCUGGUGUAGAGGUGAAAUUCGUAGAUAUCAGGAGGAACACCGGUGGCGAAGGCGACUUUCUGGCCCGAUACUGACGCUCAGGCGCGAAAGCGUGGGGAGCAAACAGGAUUAGAUACCCUAGUAGUCC
RNAcentral lists this ribosomal RNA (451 nucleotides) under uncultured Syntrophaceae bacterium. RNAcentral describes it as "bacterial SSU rRNA". It matches the Rfam family "Bacterial small subunit ribosomal RNA", at positions 354 to 796 of the family's 1533-position model. The record is from RNAcentral. Lineage: Bacteria; Pseudomonadati; Thermodesulfobacteriota; Syntrophia; Syntrophales; Syntrophaceae.